CCGCACAAGCGGUGGAGCAUGUGGUUUAAUUCGAUGCAACGCGAAAACCUUACCUACCCUUGACAUGUCCGGAAUCCCGAAGAGAUUUGGGAGUGCUCGCAAGAGAACCGGAACACAGGUGCUGCAUGGCUGUCGUCAGCUCGUGUCGUGAGAUGUUGGGUUAAGUCCCGCAACGAGCGCAACCCUUGUCAUUAGUUGCCAUCAUUUGGUUGGGCACUCUAAUGAGACUGCCGGUGACAAACCGGAGGAAGGUGGGGAUGACGUCAAGUCCUCAUGGCCCUUAUGGGUAGGGCUUCACACGUCAUACAAUGGUCGGUACAGAGGGUUGCCAACCCGCGAGGGGGAGCUAAUCCCACAAAGCCGAUCGUAGUCCGGAUCGCAGUCUGCAACUCGACUGCGUGAAGUCGGAAUCGCUAGUAAUCGCGGAUCAGCAUGUCGCGGUGAAUACGUUCCCGGGUCUU
RNAcentral lists this ribosomal RNA (461 nucleotides) under uncultured Rhodocyclaceae bacterium. Its description in RNAcentral is "bacterial SSU rRNA". It matches the Rfam family "Bacterial small subunit ribosomal RNA", at positions 921 to 1382 of the family's 1533-position model. The record is from RNAcentral. Lineage: Bacteria; Pseudomonadati; Pseudomonadota; Betaproteobacteria; Rhodocyclales; Rhodocyclaceae.